This 251-nucleotide unclassified non-coding RNA is filed under the name Hevea brasiliensis (rubber tree). The record is from RNAcentral. Lineage: Eukaryota; Viridiplantae; Streptophyta; Magnoliopsida; Malpighiales; Euphorbiaceae.
UAUAGAUAUUCACACUUUACUGGUUAUGUGAUCGAUCGGGCAUCUAGUCCUAAUUACCACCCCACAGUUUGUGGAAUUUUACAGAUGGACAAGAGGAUACGUAAGGUUACAAUAACUCUGAAUAUUUUCUUGGGACUAUUGACUAGAAUCAGUAAAAAAAAUCAAAUAAUAACAAGAACAAAGGGGUUCCCCUUAAUAGGAACGGAUAGACUUGCCCAUAGUCACUAAUAGAGAUACUCACUUUCUCGAUG